AGUGAACGCUGGCGGCAGGCCUAACACAUGCAAGUCGAACGGCAGCACCGUAAGAGCUUGCUCUUACGGGUGGCGAGUGGCGGACGGGAGAGGAAUAUAACGGAAUCUACUCUUUCGUGGGGGAUAACGUAGGGAAACUUACGCUAAUAUCGCAUACGACGUACGGGUGAAAGCAGGGGAUCUUCGGACCUGGCGGGAAUGAACGCGCCGAUGUCGGACUAGCUGGUUGGCGGGGUAAAGGCCCAGCAAGGCGAGGAUACGUAGCUGGUCUGAGAGAAUGGUCGGCCACACGGGAGCUGAGACAGGGUCAAGACUCCUACGGGAGGCAGCAGUGGGGAAUAUUAGACAAUGGGCGCAAGCCUGAUACAGCCAUACCGCGUGGGUGAAGAAGGCCUUCCGGUUGUAAAGCCCUUUUGUUGGGAAAGAAAAGCAGCAGGUUAAUACCCCGCUGUUCUGACGGUACCGAGAGAAUAAGCACCGGCUAACUUCGUG
RNAcentral lists this ribosomal RNA (492 nucleotides) under uncultured bacterium. RNAcentral's name for it is "partial 16S ribosomal RNA". It matches the Rfam family "Bacterial small subunit ribosomal RNA", at positions 29 to 507 of the family's 1533-position model. The record is from RNAcentral.